GAGCCACGAAAUAUAAGAACUCGUAUAAUUAUGGGGAUACGGCCCGAAGUUUCUACCCAAAGACCUUAAAUUUUUGGACUACGAGUGAAAGUGAUGCUUCU
This 101-nucleotide non-coding RNA is filed under the name Paenibacillus selenitireducens. RNAcentral's name for it is "Guanine sequence". It matches the Rfam family "Purine riboswitch aptamer". From Rfam's summary of the family: Riboswitches are metabolite binding domains within certain messenger RNAs that serve as precision sensors for their corresponding targets. Allosteric rearrangement of mRNA structure is mediated by ligand binding, and this results in modulation of gene expression. The record is from Rfam by way of RNAcentral. Lineage: Bacteria; Bacillati; Bacillota; Bacilli; Caryophanales; Paenibacillaceae.